UGAGAGACGGGGUGGGUCUAGAGGCAGGGAGAGGCUGGUGGAAUUCCCGGUGUAGUGGUGAAAUGCGUAGAGACCGGGAGGAACACCAGUGGCGAAGGCGGCCCGCUGGCCCUGACCUGACGCUGAGGCGCGAAGGCGCGGGGAGCGAACGGGAUUAGAUACCCCGGUAGUCCGCGCAGUAAACGCUGUGGACUAGGUGUGGGAGGUGUUGACCCCCUCCGUGCCGGCGCUAACGCAGUAAGUCCCCCGCCUGGGGAGUACGGCCGCAAGGCUAAAACUCAAAGGAAUUGACGG
This 294-nucleotide ribosomal RNA is filed under the name uncultured Sphaerobacter sp. RNAcentral's name for it is "partial 16S ribosomal RNA". It matches the Rfam family "Bacterial small subunit ribosomal RNA", at positions 624 to 916 of the family's 1533-position model. The record is from RNAcentral. Lineage: Bacteria; Pseudomonadati; Thermomicrobiota; Thermomicrobia; Sphaerobacterales; Sphaerobacteraceae.